RNAcentral lists this ribosomal RNA (394 nucleotides) under uncultured bacterium. RNAcentral's name for it is "bacterial SSU rRNA". It matches the Rfam family "Bacterial small subunit ribosomal RNA", at positions 87 to 477 of the family's 1533-position model. The record is from RNAcentral.
GCUGACGAGUGGCGGACGGGUGAGUAAUGUCUGGGAAACUGCCUGAUGGAGGGGGAUAACUACUGGAAACGGUAGCUAAUACCGCAUAACGUCGCAAGACCAAAGAGGGGGACCUUCGGGCCUCUUGCCAUCGGAUGUGCCCAGAUGGGAUUAGCUAGUAGGUGGGGUAACGGCUCACCUAGGCGACGAUCCCUAGCUGGUCUGAGAGGAUGACCAGCCACACUGGAACUGAGACACGGUCCAGACUCCUACGGGAGGCAGCAGUGGGGAAUAUUGCACAAUGGGCGCAAGCCUGAUGCAGCCAUGCCGCGUGUAUGAAGAAGGCCUUCGGGUUGUAAAGUACUUUCAGCGGGGAGGAAGGGAGUAAAGUUAAUACCUUUGCUCAUUGACGUUA